GGAAUUCUGCGCGGUGCGUGGUUCGCUUAAAACCCCGGGGCCAAUAAGAACUCCUGGGAGUUGUUCCUGGCCUUGACCCUGGUCUUGGCCACACGACGCCCACCUGCUUUGCAGGCCUUGGUGGUUCUACGAACCACGGCCCAUCGUGGAGCCGCC
RNAcentral lists this non-coding RNA (156 nucleotides) under Reyranella sp. Its description in RNAcentral is "6S RNA". It matches the Rfam family "6S / SsrS RNA". From Rfam's summary of the family: E. coli 6S RNA was the first non coding RNA to be sequenced, but its function was unknown until recently. It consists of 184 nucleotides that fold into an extended hairpin structure with a large single-stranded internal bulge. The record is from RNAcentral. Lineage: Bacteria; Pseudomonadati; Pseudomonadota; Alphaproteobacteria; Hyphomicrobiales; Reyranellaceae.